GCGGGUGGAGCCGAAGAGGGCGCGGGAGUCGUCGUCGUCUUCGCCGGAGAAGAAGUCCUCGUCGAGGGUUCCGACGCGGGUGAGCUGGAGGAAGGGGCGGUGGCGGCGGCGGAGGGUGACCGGAGAGGGCUGGGGGAUCGGGAGGAGGUGGGGUUGGCGGCGAGGUCGAGGCGGGAGAGGAGGGACUUGAGGGAAGGGUCGCGGUCGAUGAAGGCGGUGAGGAGGUGGGUCCCGUUCUCGACGACGGUGCGGAAGGAGAAGAUGAGGAGGGAGAGGAAGAGGAAGGUGAGGAGGUUGGAGAAGAAGGAGGCCGAGGCUUGCCGGAGGAGCUGCGGCGUGCUCCUGAGGUGGUGGAGCCGCGGGUGGUGCUGGUGCUGGUGGUGGUGGUGAUCGCUCAUGUCGCGUUUCGUACCGUCAGAAACGUUUGUUUCUUUUUUCUUUUUGGGUUUUUCUGGUUCGGGUUUUUUUUGUUUUGGGACUUUCGAUGUGCGUACUGCGUGAGAGAGAGAGAGGCGAGUGUGUGUUUUGCAGUAGCGUGGGAUGGUUUCGCGGAUGGUGCUCUGGCGCGUGAGUAUCACCCCGGGUAGUCGGAUCGGG
Molecule: long non-coding RNA, 597 nt
Filed under: Rosa chinensis
Lineage: Eukaryota; Viridiplantae; Streptophyta; Magnoliopsida; Rosales; Rosaceae
Description: sRNA RchiOBHm_Chr3g0469931
Source: RNAcentral